Molecule: ribosomal RNA, 160 nt
Filed under: uncultured Lactobacillus sp.
Lineage: Bacteria; Bacillati; Bacillota; Bacilli; Lactobacillales; Lactobacillaceae
Description: partial 16S ribosomal RNA
Rfam family: Bacterial small subunit ribosomal RNA
Source: RNAcentral
UAGGGAAUCUUCCACAAUGGGCGCAAGCCUGAUGGAGCAACACCGCGUGAGUGAAGAAGGGUUUCGGCUCGUAAAGCUCUGUUGUUGGAGAAGAACGUGCGUGAGAGUAACUGUUCACACAGUGACGGUAUCCAACCAGAAAGUCACGGCUAACUACGUG